AGGCAGGGCCUGCAGGCAGCUCCAAAUUACCAGAGUUAGAAUCUGAAACUAAAGUUGUUGAUGAUUCUCAGGUUUGUGCACCAAUGCCAGAAACUGUGCCCGAAGCUGAAGUUGGUGGUGACGUUGAAGGUUUAUCAGAGGCAGGGCCUGCAGGCAUUUCCAAAUUACCAGAGUUAGAAUCAAUGCCAGAAACUGUGCCCGAAGCUAAAGUUGGUGAUGACAUUGAAGGUUUAUCUGAGGCAGGGCCUGCAGGCAGUUCCAAAUUACCAGAGUUAGAAUCUGAAACUAAAGUUGGUGAUGAUUCUCAGGUUUGUGCACCAAUGCCAGAAACUGUGCCCGAAGCUAAAGUUGGUGAUGACGUUGAAGGUUUAUCCGAGGCAGGGCCUGCAGGCAGUUCCAAAUUACCAGAGUCAGAAUCUGAAACUAAAGUUGGUGAUGAUUCUCGGGUUUGUGCAUCAAUGCCAGAAACUGUGCCCGAAGCUAAAGUUGGUGAUGACGUUGAAGGUUUAUCUGAGGCAGGCCCUGCAGGCAGCUCCAAAUCACCAGAGUUAGAAUCUGAAGCUAAAGUUGGUGAU
Molecule: long non-coding RNA, 575 nt
Filed under: Prunus persica (peach)
Lineage: Eukaryota; Viridiplantae; Streptophyta; Magnoliopsida; Rosales; Rosaceae
Description: long non-coding RNA (PPER_LNC000390)
Source: RNAcentral